This 496-nucleotide ribosomal RNA is filed under the name uncultured bacterium. RNAcentral's name for it is "partial 16S ribosomal RNA". It matches the Rfam family "Bacterial small subunit ribosomal RNA", at positions 28 to 506 of the family's 1533-position model. The record is from RNAcentral.
GAUGAACGCUGGCGGCGUGCCUAAUACAUGCAAGUCGAGCGAACAGACGAGGAGCUUGCUCCUCUGACGUUAGCGGCGGACGGGUGAGUAACACGUGGAUAACCUACCUAUAAGACUGGGAUAACUUCGGGAAACCGGAGCUAAUACCGGAUAAUAUAUUGAACCGCAUGGUUCAAUAGUGAAAGACGGUUUUGCUGUCACUUAUAGAUGGAUCCGCGCCGCAUUAGCUAGUUGGUAAGGUAACGGCUUACCAAGGCAACGAUGCGUAGCCGACCUGAGAGGGUGAUCGGCCACACUGGAACUGACACACGGUCCAGACUCCUACGGGAGGCAGCAGUAGGGAAUCUUCCGCAAUGGGCGAAAGCCUGACGGAGCAACGCCGCGUGAGUGAUGAAGGUCUGCGGAUCGUAAAACGCUGUUAUUAGGGAAGAACAAAUGUGUAAGUAACUAUGCACGUCUUGACGGUACCUAAUCAGAAAGCCACGGCUAACUACGU